RNAcentral lists this ribosomal RNA (774 nucleotides) under Bacillus spizizenii. Its description in RNAcentral is "bacterial SSU rRNA". It matches the Rfam family "Bacterial small subunit ribosomal RNA", at positions 61 to 817 of the family's 1533-position model. The record is from RNAcentral. Lineage: Bacteria; Bacillati; Bacillota; Bacilli; Caryophanales; Bacillaceae.
GUCGAGCGGACAGAUGGGAGCUUGCUCCCUGAUGUUAGCGGCGGACGGGUGAGUAACACGUGGGUAACCUGCCUGUAAGACUGGGAUAACUCCGGGAAACCGGGGCUAAUACCGGAUGCUUGUUUGAACCGCAUGGUUCAAACAUAAAAGGUGGCUUCGGCUACCACUUACAGAUGGACCCGCGGCGCAUUAGCUAGUUGGUGAGGUAAUGGCUCACCAAGGCAACGAUGCGUAGCCGACCUGAGAGGGUGAUCGGCCACACUGGGACUGAGACACGGCCCAGACUCCUACGGGAGGCAGCAGUAGGGAAUCUUCCGCAAUGGACGAAAGUCUGACGGAGCAACGCCGCGUGAGUGAUGAAGGUUUUCGGAUCGUAAAGCUCUGUUGUUAGGGAAGAACAAGUACCGUUCGAAUAGGGCGGUACCUUGACGGUACCUAACCAGAAAGCCACGGCUAACUACGUGCCAGCAGCCGCGGUAAUACGUAGGUGGCAAGCGUUGUCCGGAAUUAUUGGGCGUAAAGGGCUCGCAGGCGGUUUCUUAAGUCUGAUGUGAAAGCCCCCGGCUCAACCGGGGAGGGUCAUUGGAAACUGGGGAACUUGAGUGCAGAAGAGGAGAGUGGAAUUCCACGUGUAGCGGUGAAAUGCGUAGAGAUGUGGAGGAACACCAGUGGCGAAGGCGACUCUCUGGUCUGUAACUGACGCUGAGGAGCGAAAGCGUGGGGAGCGAACAGGAUUAGAUACCCUGGUAGUCCACGCCGUAAACGAUGAGUGCU